This 253-nucleotide ribosomal RNA is filed under the name uncultured bacterium. RNAcentral's name for it is "partial 16S ribosomal RNA". It matches the Rfam family "Bacterial small subunit ribosomal RNA", at positions 524 to 776 of the family's 1533-position model. The record is from RNAcentral.
UACGGAGGAUCCAAGCGUCAUCCGGAUUUAUUGGGUUUAAAGGGUGCGUAGGCGGCCUAUUAAGUCAGGGGUGAAAGACGGUAGCUUAACUAUCGCAGUGCCCUUGAUACUGAUGGGCUUGAAUGGACUAGAGGUAGGCGGAAUGAGACAAGUAGCGGUGAAAUGCAUAGAUAUGUCUCAGAACACCGAUUGCGAAGGCAGCUCACUAAAGUAUGAUUGACGCUGAGGCACGAAAGCGUGGGGAUCAAACAGG